GCUAAAAUUGGAGAAUCAAUAUGUUCUCGGAAUCCAUUUUCUGCUAUGAUUCCAUUAGACUAAAAGUUUCUCAUAUUUUCUAAUUCUCAUGUGCUUGUACUGCAAUUCAACAAACCUCUAAGGCUGACUACUUUUGUAUUUUUAUUUUUUUCAAAUUUUUUUUGGCAGAAGCAGUUGAAAUUCCAUAUUCAAAUCAUCAACCAGUUGUUGGAAUUCUCCCCCAAGAUGGCGGGUGAUAAUAGAGGUAAGGCUAUUGCUAAAGCCCCGAAAAAAUCAUAGAAGAAGAAGGGUCUGUUUAUACCACCAGAGGGCGUAGUGACAGGAACCCUUAAUUUUCCUAUGUUUUCUUUGAUAUGUAUAUGAUAUUUAAGUGUUUGAAUGUAGUUUUAAUUCGAAUUAGAAAUACUUUGAAGGUGAAUUUGAUUGUAGAAUGUAGUUAUGGUUGUUUAAGUUUAUGAUGUUUAAGUGUUUCAAUCUAGUUGUAAUUUGAAUUAGAAGUACUUUAAAUUGAAAUUUGAGGUUGGAUUUGAUUGUAGAAUGUUGUAGUUUAUGAGUGUAGAAGUACUUUGAUGAAUUGCAUUGUUGAUUUGGUCGAUGAAA
Molecule: long non-coding RNA, 600 nt
Organism: Lycium barbarum (goji berry)
Lineage: Eukaryota; Viridiplantae; Streptophyta; Magnoliopsida; Solanales; Solanaceae
Exons: 2
Source: RefSeq, a predicted model, not a curated record